AGAGUUUGAUCCUGGCUCAGGAUGAACGCUAGCGGCAGGCCUAACACAUGCAAGCCGAGGGGCAGCACUGGUAGCAAUACCUGGUAGCGACCGGCGCACGGGUGAGUAACGCGUAUGCAACCUACCCUCUACAGGGAGAUAGCCCGGAGAAAUUCGGAUUAAUACCCCAUAGUAUUAAGAUAUCGCAUGGUAUUUUGAUUAAAGCUUUGGUGGUAGAGGAUGGGCAUGCGUGCCAUUAGUUAGUUGGCAGGGUAACAGCCUACCAUGACGAUGAUGGCUAGGGGUUCUAAAAGGAUGAUCCCCCACACUGGUACUGAGACACGGACCAGACUCCUACGGGAGGCAGCAGUGAGGAAUAUUGGUCAAUGGGUGCAAGCCUGAACCAGCCAUGCCGCGUGCAGGAAGACGGCCCUAGUGGUUGUAAACUGCUUUUUUACGGGAGUAAUAUCCCCGACGUGUCGGGGUUUGCAAGUACUGUAAGAAUAAGCAUCGGCUAACUCCGUGCCAGCAGCCGCGGUAAUACGGAGGAUGCAAGCGUUAUCCGGAUUUAUUAGGUUUAAAGGGUGCGUAGGCUGUAUUGUUAGUCAGUGGUGAAAUCUUUCGGCUUAACCGGGAAACUGCCAUUGAUACUGCAGUACUUGAGUACAGUUGAGGUAGGCGGAAUGUGUAAUGUAGCGGUGAAAUGCAUAGAUAUUACACAGAACACCGAUUGCGAAGGCAGCUUACUAAGCUGAUACUGACGCUGAAGCACGAAAGCGUGGGGAUCGAACAGGAUUAGAUACCCUGGUAGUCCACGCUGUAAACGAUGAGCACUCGCUGUUGGCGAUAUUACUGCCAGUGGCUGAGCGAAAGCAUUAAGUGCUCCACCUGGGGAGUACGUCGGCAACGAUGAAACUCAAAGGAAUUGACGGGGGCCCGCACAAGCGGUGGAACAUGUGGUUUAAUUCGAUGAUACGCGAGGAACCUUACCUGGGUUUGAAUUCAGAACGACGAAUUCCGAAAGGAGUUUUCCCUUCGGGGCGUUCUGGAAGGUGCUGCAUGGCUGUCGUCAGCUCGUGCCGUGAGGUGUCGGGUUAAGUCCCAUAACGAGCGCAACCCCUAUCGUUAGUUGCCAUCGGUUCGGCCGGGCACUCUAGCGAGACUGCCACCGUAAGGUGAGAGGAAGGUGGGGAUGACGUCAAGUCAGCACGGCCCUUACGUCCAGGGCUACACACGUGUUACAAUGGCCGGUACAAAGGGCAGCUACAUGGUGACAUGAUGCUAAUCUCGAAAACCGGUCUCAGUUCGGAUCGAAGUCUGCAACCCGACUUCGUGAAGCUGGAAUCACUAGUAAUCGCGCAUCAGCAACGGCGCGGUGAAUACGUUCCCGGGCCUUGUACACACCGCCCGUCAAGCCAUGGAAGCCGGGGGUACCUGAAGUCUGUAACCGAAAGGAACGGCCUAGGGUAAAACUGGUGACUGGGGCUAAGUCGUAACAAGGUA
Molecule: ribosomal RNA, 1482 nt
Filed under: metagenome
Description: bacterial SSU rRNA
Rfam family: Bacterial small subunit ribosomal RNA
Source: RNAcentral